GUUGUUCGGAAUUACUGGGCGUAAAGGGCUCGUAGGUGGCCAACUAAGUCAGACGUGAAAUCCCUCGGCUUAACCGGGGAACUGCGUCUGAUACUGGAUGGCUUGAGUUUGGGAGAGGGAUGCGGAAUUCCAGGUGUAGCGGUGAAAUGCGUAGAUAUCUGGAGGAACACCGGUGGCGAAGGCGGCAUCCUGGACCAACACUGACACUGAGGAGCGAAAGCCAGGGGAGCAAACGGG
Molecule: ribosomal RNA, 237 nt
Filed under: uncultured bacterium
Lineage: Bacteria
Description: partial 16S ribosomal RNA
Rfam family: Bacterial small subunit ribosomal RNA
Source: RNAcentral